RNAcentral lists this ribosomal RNA (318 nucleotides) under uncultured bacterium. Its description in RNAcentral is "bacterial SSU rRNA". It matches the Rfam family "Bacterial small subunit ribosomal RNA", at positions 31 to 345 of the family's 1533-position model. The record is from RNAcentral.
GAACGCUGGCGGCAUGCCUUACACAUGCAAGUCGAACGGCAGCAUGGAGGAGCAUGCUCCUCUGAUGGCGAGUGGCGAACGGGUGAGUAAAGCAUCGGAACGUGCCGUGUAGUGGGGGAUAACGUAGCGAAAGUUACGCUAAUACCGCAUACGCACCGAGGUGGAAAGCAGGGGAUCGCAAGACCUUGCGCUAUACGAGCGGCCGAUGUCAGAUUAGCUAGUUUUUCGCGUAAAGGCCUAGCAAAGCGACGAUCUGUAGCGGGUCUGAGAGGAUGAUCCGCCACUCCUGCANUGAGACAGGAUCCAGACUCCUNCGGG